This 3513-nucleotide long non-coding RNA is filed under the name Nicotiana benthamiana. Its description in RNAcentral is "long non-coding RNA (NBEN_LNC014203)". Lineage: Eukaryota; Viridiplantae; Streptophyta; Magnoliopsida; Solanales; Solanaceae. The record is from RNAcentral.
UUUGUAGUCAAUUAGGCGUUCUUGGUAGGCUGCACUGCUCCAUUCACUAGAAAAGUAACAAUAUUUCCAAUGUAGCAUGCGUGAAAUAUAAUAAUAGAACUCAACCAUGUUCCGAUACAAGCGUGCACUGACGGUAUCCAAUUCUCUCGAGUUCUGUUCAUUAUCUUAAGCAUGUCGUUACAUGUCAACAAAAAAUGUUAAGUUGAACUUGCACAAUUUUACUUGAACUCCCAGCUAUCCGUUUCUUAAGUAAUAUCAUUACAAAUUCUGCACAACAUUUUUGUUUGCAGAUUUGUUCUUCUCUGUUGAGUACUCUUGAUGAAGUAACCAUGUUAUCUUGUUUGUUGACGCUUCCAUGGUUUUUACCUCUGUCCCUCUGUAAGUUACUUCCAAUGGAAUGAAUGCAUUGCAUUAAUACUACCACUGUAAAUUUCUUGACAGAAAAAAAUAGUAGUAUAAAUUUAGUACCUGCAAAAAGAAACACAUGUUAAUGAAAAAUGUUAUCUCCAUGUUCUUCUCUGGUCGAUCAUGGUGACUGCAUUUUGUAUUAAUGUUGAUUGCAUUUGUUUCUUCCCUUUCCUUCUCUAAUUUCUUGCAACUCUUAUUCUCAGGUUUGGACAUUGUAGCUUAUCUGCAUUUACCAACCUUCUGCUCGACGCAUCAAGUUCCCAGAAAUCAUAACUCUCUAUGUUGCCACUGUCAAGUGCAUAAUGUGCAAGGUGGUCUGUUAGUUUAUUUUCCUCUCUGAAAAUGUGAGAUAUCUUGAAAUUACACCCCAUUUUGAGUCUGUUAAUUUCAUCCACCGCAUCCACAAUAUUCCAGGGUGGUUUCCAUUGCCCAUCUAUGAUUUUUUGAAGCAUCAUUGAAUCUGUCUGAAGCCAAACAUUAUGGAGGUUCAUUGUUUUGCACAUGGUCAUUGCCUCUAUUAUUGCUGUCGCCUCAGCUUCGUUGUUAGAACCCUCAUUUAUUUCUUUUCUUUCUGCAUGUAUCAAAUCACCUAUCUCAUCUCUUAAACAAAAACUAAUUGAACUCCUCCCUAGGUUCCCUCUUCAUGCUCCAUUAGUAUUCACUUUGAUCCAGCCUGUUGGAGGAAAUUCCCAUAUCACUUUAUCAUAUUUCAAUCUAGGUGUGUAUUGCUCCAUCAUUGUCAGAAAGUCUAGCCACUUGUGAGGCACAUGUAGUCCUGGUUUUUUCAGUUGGACUAGAGCUUGCAGCGUAGAUGACACCUGGAAAAUAACUCUUCUUACUGACACCGCUUCUCCAUAUUUCAAACUGUUUCUUCUCUUCCAUAACUCCCAUACAAUACAUGCAGGUAAAGCUUGCAAGACUGGCUUCAAUAUCUAUGUGCAACUGAUGUCGUCCAGCACUUUGCAAUUGCUUGUUGUAAAGACAACCCUUCUAAUGCAAUUCCUGCUCUCCUCAGGAAGUAACUCCAAACAGUCGUAGCUGCAUUGGAUGUGAAGAACAAAUGUACUAAAGACUCCUCCUUAGGAUCUGCACAACACCAACAUUUAGAUGCCAUGAAGUAUCCUAUUCUACGCAAGAAAUCAUCAAGUGGCAGUUUGACUUUUCACACCUUCCACAGGAAGAAAAAUAUCUUGAAUGGUAAGCCUUUGACCCAUAUCAUCUUGUAAGCUAUCCUUGAAAUGUCUCUUCUUCGCAGGUAAUCCCAUGCAGAUUUCACUGAAAAAUGUCCCCUAGUUUCAAGCAUCCAGAAUGGUGUAUCUAACUCUGCACUUUCAAUUGGUGGUCUAAUAUUUUGCACAAUGUGGUUUUCCAAAUAUUCAGGUAGAGUUUGAAAUAAUUUUUCCAAAUUCCACAUACCAUUUUCAACCAUAUCAUUGACAUUGUGAAUGUCUUCAUCAACUACAAACUGUGCAGGCAGUUGGAAAUAUAAAGCUCCCAUCUCGGUCCAAUUGUCGAAUCAGAAUUGAGCCAAUCACGCUCUCAAUUUCCAGUAGAUUUGAUGCUCAAUCAAGUCCCUGCAUUCAAGAAAUUUUCUCCACACUGGGUGAUCCACCCUUCCACGGUACAAUUACAGGAUUUAAUUUCUUGCAAUACUUUUGACACAUAAAUGCACUCCAUAAGCUGGGAUUUGUCCUGAAAUUCCACCACAAUUUGCAGAAAAGUGCCUUGGAUACAUCAUGAAGGGAUCUGAAAACCUAUACCCCCCUCCUCAUAAGGCAUACAGAGGUUAGUCCAUGAUGACCAAUGUCUUGAGCUUCCUCUCACAUUGCUGCUCCAGAAAAAUUUGGCAAAAAUGCUAUGUAAUUUGUUGAUCACAUAACUUGGUGGAUUAUGUGCUGACAACAUAUGAAUUGGUAUACUCUGCAGGACAUUUGCGAUCGAUACAACCCAGCCUCCUACAGAUAGGAGUUUGCCUUUCCACGUCUGUAGUUUGUCCAUAACUUUAGCAAUUAAACCCUGGUAAUAAUCACUCCUUCUUCUGGCAUAAAAAAUAGGACAUCCAAGAUAGGUCAUAGGGAAACAUUAUCUUCCUAUACCAGUAAUCCUUUCUACUUGAUGUUGAUUAUUGUUGAGGAAAAGUGCAGAGAUAAAAGCAAAUGCUUAUUACUUGUUUGUCCACUUAUUAAAUAUAAAGCUCCCAUCUUUCCCUUAUAUCUUUUUACUUAUUUGAUUCCAACACAUAAUAAUUUUCAUAUAUAUUGAAAUAAUUGGUGUGAGUCUUCUAAAAUUAGGAAUGAUCUAUUAGCUUCUCGAGAUUGAGUGAAAUUUGAUUAAUAUUUUAAUUUUUUUUAUUAUAUUAAUAUGAGAAGAAUUACAAUUUAUAGUAUUUUUAUGCAAUUUUUGAAUAUUUAAAUUUUAAUUUUUAAUUUUAGUAUACUCAAUUGAGCUAAAUUAAUUUAGCUUUAUAAUUUAGUCAAAUGACUCUCGCUAAAUGAUAUGUGUAAUAUAAAUUGAAACUUAUGGAGUAUAUUUGUCCUUAAGUAUAAUCACUACAACACAUAUUUAGGAGAUCACAUUUCAAUGCAUUUAAAUUUGUGAGAAAUUUCACAAAUCAACUAAUUUAUCUUGUUUACCUACUAUCGUAUGUACGAGUAAAAUCAGGGGUAAUGCUUGCCCCGAUUCCCCGAUGAGAAAACUAAAGAGGAGCACAGAUACAGGGGAGAUUGUAAUCGAGGCCAGACACCCUUCGUAUCGAGACCCUAGAAGAGUGAACGGUAUAUUCGCCGUCGGGCAUGGUAAAACGAUGCAUCCCAGGCCUAGUGUAAGUUCUAGACUUUGGGAGACAUGGCGAUGGUUAUGCAUGGAGGAUAUAGGGCCAUAAUUCUCGCCCUCAACCAGUAUAAAAGCAAGAAUCUCUCUUGAUGUUGAUUAUGAAUCAACAAUUACCGAAAAAGAUGUUUUUUGUCUAUUUAAGACUUGUACUAAGACUGAAAAUCUCCUAUUAUAUAAAACAGGUUUUUCUUUGAUACGACACACUGUUACACCCAAUUAAAAGCAAUAAAAGUUUCCUUUUUCCUUCUAGAUACUGUUAAAAAAUUUGCUCAC